This is a non-coding RNA of Ictidomys tridecemlineatus (thirteen-lined ground squirrel), 1326 nucleotides long. NCBI's taxonomy places the organism in Eukaryota, Metazoa, Chordata, Mammalia, Rodentia, Sciuridae. The record is from RefSeq and is a predicted model, not a curated record.
AGAGGGGAACCUCUAGAAACCGCGAGGAAGAAGGUCUUCCGGCUCUGCCGGAAGUUUGCCUGCGCGGGACAGGAAGUUCCUCCUCCUCCUGAACGCCGGCAACCCCACGCUACGCAGAGAGUUUCUGUGUUGGUGGAUCUGAGGAAGCCCUAAAAACCAUAAAAUCCGCAAGGGACCCAGAGCAAUGGAUCUGGCUAUCUAUGGACUGAAACCUCUGAAAUUGUUGCUAAGUGGCCCAGGCUGACCUCCAUCAUGCAAAAGAUGUUUUAAGGAAGGGUUAAUACAGAUUUUCUGAAGAAAGAAAAAGGUCUCUUCUCAAUAUGGCUUUGGAAAGUACUCAGAUGGAAGUGAGGUUCAAAAAUGAGCCUGAGUCCUAAGACAUCAACUCAAACUCUCCUGCAGCUCACAAAAGUAAUCCCAGUUUUCCCAAGUUGCCUCUUGCCUCAUCACUGAUACUUGUCUUCCUUAAGGCAAACUCAUUAUCUGUUACUUUUAUCAUCCUAUUUAAAAAGUAUUCUCAGCUUCUUGAAGAAGUGUAAAAAUUAUAUAAAAGAACUAGUCCACACAGAAUUGGAAUGUGCAAGACAAUAUUCAGCCAUGAAAGAAUUGGAAGACUGAAGAAUUGGAAGUCAUUUUGUUCCCACUGCUACUUUAUUCCUACUAACUCAAAAUCUUGAAAUAAAGAGAAUUGAUUUAGGAGAAAUUCACCUAAAGGAGAACUUCUCUAGAAUGGAGACUCAUCUGGUGGAGAUCAACAACAAAGAGGAGUAGGAUUUCACCAUCCAGAAUCUGUAAAUAGAUGCAUGUGGGGCUGUCAGAUACAGAGAGUCAGAGACAUUGGAAGUGGGUUGUUCAGACACCAUACAACCCAAGUGCCACAUUCUGUCAUUAAAUUCAAUUGUGAGAUGAUGAAAAUCUAUUUAUGAAUCAAACAUUCUCCAUGGUCAUAUGGUUAAAUUGGCAUCCAUUGUUAUAGAGAUAGCUAAUAAGUUCCUCUUUAUGUGUAAGAGAUUCCAUAGAAUUUUAGGUAGGUGGUCAACUACUCCACUUGUGAAAAAAUUUUCCACAUAUUUACUUGUUUAUUAAUUUAUUUGCCUAUUCAUAAAAUAAGCAUUUACUUAAAAAUUUGAAAGUGCCAGAAACUAUAUAGGAAACCCCUUUUUGUGAACAUAUGGAAGACACAUGAACCUCUCUGCAAAUUUCUUUCUGAUUGUUAAGGAUUUAUUUACUGAUAUAUGAUGUAGUUCCUUUACCUGUUUUCUCUUCCUCUCUUUGGCUUUCUUCAUGUAUAGUUAGCAAAUAAAAUUGUAUUUAUUUUAGAAAAAA